ACGGCUCAGUAACACGUGGACAACCUACCCUAUGGAGGGGGAUAACCCCGGGAAACUGGGGAUAAUACCCCAUAGACUAUGGAUGCUGGAAUGCUCUGUAGCCAAAAGGUCAGCCGCCAUAGGAUGGGUCUGCGGCCGAUUAGGUAGUUGUUGGGGUAACGGCCCAACAAGCCUGUAAUCGGUACGGGUUGUGGGAGCAAGAGCCCGGAGAUGGAUUCUGAGACACGAAUCCAGGCCCUACGGGGCGCAGCAGGCGCGAAAACUUUACAAUGCGGGAAACCGUGAUAAGGGAACUCCGAGUGCCCGUUAAAUCGGGCUGUCCAUCUGUGUAAAUAACAGGUGAAGAAAGGGCCGGGCAAGACCGGUGCCAGCCGCCGCGGUAAUACCGGCGGCUCGAGUGGUGGCCACUAUUACUGGGCUUAAAGCGUUCGUAGCUGGUUUGUUAAGUCUCUGGGGAAAUCUUCCGGCUUAACCGGAAGGCGUCUCAGGGAUACUGGCAGACUAGGGACCGGAAGAGGUGAGGGGUACUCCAGGGGUAGGAGUGAAAUCCUGUAAUCCUUGGGGGACCACCUGUGGCGAAGGCGCCUCACCAGAACGGCUCCGACAGUGAGGGACGAAAGCUGGGGGAGCAAACCGGAUUAGAUACCCGGGUAGUCCCAGCCGUAAACGAUGUGCGUUAGGUGUAUCGGUGACCACGAGUCACCGAGGUGCCGAAGAGAAGUCGUGAAACGUACCGCCUGGAA
Molecule: ribosomal RNA, 743 nt
Filed under: uncultured Methanomicrobiaceae archaeon
Lineage: Archaea; Methanobacteriati; Methanobacteriota; Methanomicrobia; Methanomicrobiales; Methanomicrobiaceae
Description: bacterial SSU rRNA
Rfam family: Archaeal small subunit ribosomal RNA
Source: RNAcentral